UGGGGGUUGGUGGAAAGCUCCGGCGGUUUGGGAUGGGCCAGCGGCCUAUCAGCUUGUUGGUGGGGUAAUGGCCUACCAAGGCGACGACGGGUAGCCGGCCUGAGAGGGCGACCGGCCACACUGGGACUGAGACACGGCCCAGACUCCUACGGGAGGCAGCAGUGGGGAAUAUUGCACAAUGGGCGCAAGCCUGAUGCAGCGACGCCGCGUGAGGGAUGACGGCCUUCGGGUUGUAAACCUCUUUCACCAGGGACGAAGCGUGAGUGACGGUACCUGGAGAAGAAGCACCGG
Molecule: ribosomal RNA, 291 nt
Filed under: uncultured bacterium
Lineage: Bacteria
Description: partial 16S ribosomal RNA
Rfam family: Bacterial small subunit ribosomal RNA
Source: RNAcentral